CCUACGUGAGGCUGCAGUGAGGAAUAUUGGUCAAUGGACGAGAGUCUGAACCAGCCAAGUAGCGUGAAGGAUGACUGCCCUAUGGGUUGUAAACUUCUUUUAUAUGGGAAUAAAGUGUUCCACGUAUGGGACUUUGUAUGUACCAUAUGAAUAAGGAUCGGCUAACUCCGUGCCAGCAGCCGCGGUAAUACGGAGGAUCCGAGCGUUAUCCGGAUUUAUUGGGUUUAAAGGGAGCGUAGGUGGGUUGUUAAGUCAGUUGUGAAAGUUUGCGGCUCAACCGUAAAAUUGCAGUUGAUACUGGCAUUCUUGAGUACAGUAGAGGUGGGCGGAAUUCGUGGUGUAGCGGUGAAAUGCUUAGAUAUCACGAAGAACUCCGAUUGCGAAGGCAGCUCGCUGGACUGCAACUGACACUGAGGCUCGAAAGUGUGGGUAUCAAACAGGAUUAGAUACCCGUGUAGUC
RNAcentral lists this ribosomal RNA (460 nucleotides) under uncultured bacterium. Its description in RNAcentral is "partial 16S ribosomal RNA". It matches the Rfam family "Bacterial small subunit ribosomal RNA", at positions 338 to 795 of the family's 1533-position model. The record is from RNAcentral.